GACGAACCGUGCGAACGUUGUUCGGAAUCACUGGGCUUAAAGGGCGCGUAGGCGGGCGAUCAAGUCCGGGGUGAAAUCUUUCGGCUCAACCGGAAAACUGCCUUGGAUACUGAUCGUCUUGAGGGAGGUAGGGGCAGGUGGAACUUCCGGUGGAGCGGUGAAAUGCGUUGAUAUCGGAAGGAACGCCGGUGGCGAAAGCGGCCUGCUGGAUCUCUUCUGACGCUGAUGCGCGAAAGCUAGGGUAGCGAACGGG
Molecule: ribosomal RNA, 253 nt
Filed under: uncultured bacterium
Lineage: Bacteria
Description: partial 16S ribosomal RNA
Rfam family: Bacterial small subunit ribosomal RNA
Source: RNAcentral